GCUGGGAGCAAGGGUUGACAGGAGAGACAGAAGGGAUGACUGCGGAGAGGAGAGGCAGCACAGGCAGCUUUGUGUUGGGAGCGACUCUGUAUGUUGAUUGCACCGGUGCAGGCCGAGGGUGGAGGUGAUACACUGGCAGGGACCUGCACACACCUCUGCCAGGGAGGACAAGGACAGCCUGAUCUGAAAUCAUUUAUGGGACUAAAGGGA
Molecule: long non-coding RNA, 210 nt
Filed under: Fukomys damarensis (Damara mole-rat)
Lineage: Eukaryota; Metazoa; Chordata; Mammalia; Rodentia; Bathyergidae
Description: lncRNA (ENSFDAG00000031155.1)
Source: RNAcentral